AGAGAUAGAGUCUUCCCCUUCGGGGGACAAAGUGACAGGUGGUGCAUGGUUGUCGUCAGCUCGUGUCGUGAGAUGUUGGGUUAAGUCCCGCAACGAGCGCAACCCUUAAGCUUAGUUGCCAGCAUUAAGUUGGGCACUCUAAGUUGACUGCCGGUGACAAACCGGAGGAAGGUGGGGAUGACGUCAAAUCAUCAUGCCCCUUAUGAUUUGGGCUACACAUGUGCUACAAUGGACAAUACAAAGGGCAGCUAAACCGCGAGGUCAUGCAAAUCCCAUAAAGUUGUUCUCAGUUCGGAUUGUAGUCUGCAACUCGACUACAUGAAGCUGGAAUCGCUAGUAAUCGUAGAUCAGCAUGCUACGGUGAAUACGUUCCCGGGUCUUGUACACACCGCCCGUCACACCACGAGAGUCUGUAACACCCGAAGCCGGUGGAGUAACCAUUUAUGGAGCUAGCCGUCGAAGGUGGGACAAAUGAUUGGGGUGAAGUCGUAACAAGGUAGCCGUAUCGGAAG
RNAcentral lists this ribosomal RNA (512 nucleotides) under uncultured bacterium. Its description in RNAcentral is "bacterial SSU rRNA". It matches the Rfam family "Bacterial small subunit ribosomal RNA", at positions 1002 to 1511 of the family's 1533-position model. The record is from RNAcentral.